CCCCAGACUCCUACGGGAGGCAGCAGUGGGGAAUAUUGCACAAUGGGGGAAACCCUGAUGCAGCGACGCCGCGUGAGUGAAGAAGUAUUUCGGUAUGUAAAGCUCUAUCAGCAGGGAAGAAAAUGACGGUACCUGACUAAGAAGCCCCGGCUAACUACGUGCCAGCAGCCGCGGUAAUACGUAGGGGGCAAGCGUUAUCCGGAUUUACUGGGUGUAAAGGGAGCGUAGGUGGCAUGGUAAGCCAGAAGUGAAAACCCGGGGCUCAACCCCGCGGAUUGCUUUUGGAACUAUCAGGCUGGAGUGCUGGAGGGGUAAGCGGAAUUCCUAGUGUAGCGGUGAAAUGCGUAGAUAUUAGGAGGAACACCGGUGGCGAAGGCGGCUUACUGGACAGAAACUGACACUGAGGCUCGAAAGCGUGGGGAGCAAACAGGAUUAGAUACCCCAGUA
This 447-nucleotide ribosomal RNA is filed under the name uncultured bacterium. RNAcentral's name for it is "bacterial SSU rRNA". It matches the Rfam family "Bacterial small subunit ribosomal RNA", at positions 329 to 792 of the family's 1533-position model. The record is from RNAcentral.